GAUGAACGCUGGCGGCGUGCCUAAUACAUGCAAGUCGAGCGAACAGAUGAGGAGCUUGCUCCUCUGACGUUAGCGGCGGACGGGUGAGUAACACGUGGAUAACCUACCUAUAAGACUGGGAUAACUUCGUGAAACCGGAGCUAAUACCGGAUAAUAUAUUGAACCGCAUGGUUCAAUAGUGAAAGACGGUUUUGCUGUCACUUAUAGAUGGAUCCGCGCCGCAUUAGCUAGUUGGUAAGGUAACGGCUUACCAAGGCAACGAUGCGUAGCCGACCUGAGAGGGUGAUCGGCCACACUGGAACUGAGACACGGUCCAGACUCCUACGGGAGGCAGCAGUAGGGAAUCUUCCGCAAUGGGCGAAAGCCUGACGGAGCAACGCCGCGUGAGUGAUGAAGGUCUUCGGAUCGUAAAACUCUGUUAUUAGGGAAGAACAAAUGUGUAAGUAACUAUGCACGUCUUGACGGUACCUAAUCAGAAAGCCACGGCUAACUACGUG
Molecule: ribosomal RNA, 497 nt
Filed under: uncultured bacterium
Lineage: Bacteria
Description: partial 16S ribosomal RNA
Rfam family: Bacterial small subunit ribosomal RNA
Source: RNAcentral